AAUGCUCAGAUUAUGAAGUAGUUUUUCUCUGGGACCAGGAAUGAUUAACUAGGAUGGGCAUUUGGGGUCACACUGGAUGUUCAGUAUUAAAUCCCACCCCAUCCAUAUGCCUGGAAUUAAAGUGAAAUUAUUCAGAUGGGAUCCUCUUCUCAUAUCUCAAGAGAUUUGGAUGGCUGAAGUAAAGUGACAUCAGGAAUUCAGCAUUUUGAGAAUAUCCAAUUUUCCAUGUAAACAAGAGAAGAAAAUGGGCAUGUGCUCCUACUGGUAAGGCUCUUCUUACUAGCCAUCACUUAAAGCAGUGUUAUUUCUGAUACCAGAACUACGCACCUCCACAGUGAUCUGACCAUUAUUUUCUUUGAAUUUUCCUAGAACAUAAAUUUAAGACCCUUUAAAUAAC
RNAcentral lists this long non-coding RNA (397 nucleotides) under Felis catus (domestic cat). RNAcentral describes it as "lncRNA (ENSFCAG00000048620.1)". The record is from RNAcentral. Lineage: Eukaryota; Metazoa; Chordata; Mammalia; Carnivora; Felidae.